ACAAGCACAUAGAUAUGUGCUCUUCAAUUGUUCUUAUGUUGAUCCAUACCUUAGAGCUCAUGCUGAAGAGAUCAUCAAAAAAGGUACUAGACAUAGAGCCAGACAUAGAGAUGUUGAGAAAAUCCAAAAUGAGAAGUUCCAUCUUUGGUUUAGAAGUUAUAUAAUGCAGUUAGAGAGUGAGAAUGGCAUUCAUGGUGUUAAAGAUGACAUUAGAUGGCUAGCUCGUGGCCCGGUUGAAGCUGCAAAAAGGUACCGUGCUUUCAACAGUCGAGGUUUCCGUUUUAGGCCUAAACGGUUGGAUCGGGUUACACAAAAUAGUGGUGUUGUGCUAACUGCAAAAACAUCAAGUUAUGCUAGUGCAAGUGAUGGCAAGCCAGUUUUAGGUGAUGUGACUUACUAUGGGAGGAUAAUUGAUAUUAUUGAGCUAAACUACUCUGGAAAAUUUUCUGUGGUACUUUUCAAAUGUGAAUGGGUUGAUGUUAUUUCCAAAAGAGGAAUAAUGAAGGACAAGUAUGGAUACACACUUGUGAAUUUCUCACACCUGAUACAUACAGGAGAAAAUAUUGUUCAUGAACCGUAUAUUUUUCCUAACCAAGCUGACCAGGUGUUUUAUGCUGAAGAUGAAGAACACCCUGGGUGGUAUGUAGUCAAUAAGAUGAAACCAAGAGAUAUAUAUGACACAGGUUGUGAUGAAUGGCAAGAUGAUGUAGAAAAUGAGCCAUUCCAUGUCACACACCUUGGAAAUAUGUUCAAUAAUUCAAAUGUAAGAUAUCAAUGGGCUAGGCCAGAUAUUGAGGGAACCACAGU
Molecule: long non-coding RNA, 807 nt
Organism: Sorghum bicolor (sorghum)
Lineage: Eukaryota; Viridiplantae; Streptophyta; Magnoliopsida; Poales; Poaceae
Exons: 3
Source: RefSeq, a predicted model, not a curated record